GCAGUGGUGGCCCAGUGGUAGAAUUCUCACUUUCCAUGUGGGAGACCUAGGUUCCACUCUUGGCCAAUGCA
This 71-nucleotide transfer RNA is filed under the name Loxodonta africana (African savanna elephant). It matches the Rfam family "tRNA". Rfam says of the family: Transfer RNA (tRNA) molecules are approximately 80 nucleotides in length. Their secondary structure includes four short double-helical elements and three loops (D, anti-codon, and T loops). The record is from Rfam by way of RNAcentral. Lineage: Eukaryota; Metazoa; Chordata; Mammalia; Proboscidea; Elephantidae.